RNAcentral lists this long non-coding RNA (1027 nucleotides) under Equus asinus (donkey). Its description in RNAcentral is "lncRNA (ENSEASG00005028312.1)". The record is from RNAcentral. Lineage: Eukaryota; Metazoa; Chordata; Mammalia; Perissodactyla; Equidae.
GUAGGUGUCCCCAUACCCUUUGCACAGGGGGGUAAGCAGACCCAGAAGGUGCAGUGGUGCCUUGCCCGAGGUCACAUGGCCAGUCGGUUGCUGAAUCUGGACCAUUGAGUGGGACCAACUCAGCCAUUCAUGCCCCCUGGGAGCUCAGAUACCUGGGUCUCCUCACUGUCACUGAGAGGCCCUCCGUAACAGGACUUUAGUCAUCCUGGCAAACUGAUAGGACUGAGCCCUGCCCAUUUUCUUCAAAGCAGAAGUGACGCUGCCAUACCCUCCAAACACUGGCCCAGCAGCCAUGGCCCUGCCUCAGUUUCCAUCCCACGGAAGGUAGAUCACUGCUCCCAGCUUCUGGGGGAUGAAUCAAGGGGAACAAGACCAGGACUUACCACCGCCCGCCCCCCCCCCCCCAUCAGCCAGCUCCAGAGAACCAGCCAGAUCCGAGUUCAAAUCCUACACGCACUGGAUGACCUUGGAAUACCUAAAGAGGGGCAUCAGCAGCCUUUUCCUGAUGAGAAACCAAAGCCCACAGAAGUGAAGAGGCUUGCCCAAGGUCAUACAGCAGAUAAGUGGCCAAGGCAGAAUUCAAACACAGAUCUGACCCAUCCCAAAGUCGUCCCUCAGCUCCCUGUUAUUCUCUGGGUCUGAAAAAUGGAACUGCCAAUACCUGUGGCAUUCACAAGGACACAGAAAGAUGCAAGGAUUUGUCCAACGUCUCAUACACUGGUCAGAUCUGUCUGUGGUCUGAGUCAGAGACCCUGAAAAAGAAAAGGCAGCCCAGGGGGACCGUGGUUCCAGAGUCCUGUCCAUCACCUGCCCUGUCCUCCCAGGACAGCAGCCAGUGGAGACGGAGCCUUACAGAGGGAAUGAAACGUGGAUGUGGUGGAUGCCAUCAAGGACCUUAAGACAAGGGCCUCACUCUGGGGUUGGCAGAGCAGUGAGCUGCUGCGUGGAGUCUCUUACUUCCAGCUGAAUCUAAUUCCUCAAUGACACGGGAAAGAAAUUGAGAAACUCCUCGCAAGACUGACCACGA